CCAGGCUCCCGCCGGCUAAACUCAGCCUAAGUGCGAGGAGCACCCGCUUUGAAGUGCCGCUGGCUGCGCCUCUCGCCCAAUGAGGGCGCAGGCAGAGCAGACCGGAGCUGCCCCGCAGCCAAUCAGACGCUCCGAGGGGCCCGAGCCCGGGCUCCCGGCGCGUGCCAGUCAAGUCAGCUAGCUAGGGCCGCGGGGGUGGGGGGGAGUAGUGGGGGAUACUUGCGGGGGGGGGGCGAGGGCGGGCUGGGGACUGAAGAAAUUACAGUGCAAUUAAAAAUUUACACUCACGCACCAAGCCAGGUUUAAGUACCAAUGAAACCGAGCCACAAGCACCCCCCCACACACAAACCACCCCGAGAUGUUGCAAGUUAGGGCUGACAGUCCUACUCGACUCCCCACUUGUAGGAAAGGAGGCAGGAGGGGAGGAGACACCCAGACACAGCCCGCACCAGCAGGGCCCAAGUGGAGACGGAAAUGUGAGCCCUCACUUUGUGUGUCCAGGCUUUUGCCUACAGAACACAACUUCAGCUUGUAUCUAUCAUUCUUGCUUGUGAUUUUUAUCAUUUUCGUGUGUCUUCUACCCAAUUCCUUAUUCCACUAGAUUCAAUUUCACUCUCACAGUUAUACUGGGGAGGGGGCGCGAAGGGACAGCUCCUCCGAGAGGAGCGAAAUAGGCCUCUCUGUACAGAUCUACAUCCACAGAUUUGUUGGGAGGGCCUGGAGCCUGCUGCAUCCCGCCAUUUCCCCCCAGCGGUGUAAGUGACUUCCUAAUUGUCGCUCUGGCCUCUGACCCGGGGGGUAAUACAAGUGCCACUCACGCUAGAGGCUUCUGGUGGUAAUUGAGGGCACCCUUUGUACGGUUUCGCCAGCGCUUAGAUACCAGGUUAACCCAGUUGUCAAAUAUGACUAAACAGUGGGAUGUGCUGAUUAUCUGCCGGGUUUUGCUGUGGGCUGGCAUGGGGGUGGGAGGCAUCAGCCCAUACAACACGCUGCACGAAGCCGCUUAUUUUCUCACUGUAACAACUUUGGAAACAGAGACCGGCGCGAGCGGCGUCCGCCCCCACCUCCACCUCCGCUGAAGCUGCAGCUUGCUCGGCUGUUUGUUUAACCCGGUGAAGAUUUGCAUGUCGCGUUUCAUCCUGGAGUGGAGUUUUCUUGUCCCAGCUCCAACCCACUCCCAUUCCAGACCACCAGGGCCUAGAGGCUCGUCCGUAGGGCAAGUGCGCUGUUUUAAGAGGCUGGAAGCAUCCUGAAGUCCUCCCUGGACCUUGUCAGUGUGAAAAGAGGCGUCCUCAAGCAGACCAGGGUGGCGAAAGCACCAAGGAAAUUAUGACAGAGAAAGAGAAGGAACAGAGGAGAAGAGAAAGAGAAGG
Molecule: long non-coding RNA, 1373 nt
Organism: Homo sapiens (human)
Lineage: Eukaryota; Metazoa; Chordata; Mammalia; Primates; Hominidae
Exons: 3
Source: RefSeq, a predicted model, not a curated record